GACGAACGCUGGCGGCGUGCUUAACACAUGCAAGUCGAACGAUGAACCCGGAGCUUGCUCUGGGGGAUUAGUGGCGAACGGGUGAGUAACACGUGAGUAACCUGCCCUGGACUCUGGGAUAAGCGUUGGAAACGACGUCUAAUACCGGAUAGGACCUUGGAUCGCAUGAUCUGGGGUGGAAAGUUUUUUCGGUCUGGGAUGGACUCGCGGCCUAUCAGCUUGUUGGUGAGGUAAUGGCUCACCAAGGCGUCGACGGGUAGCCGGCCUGAGAGGGUGACCGGCAAACCUGGAACGGAAACACGGCCCAAACUGCAACGGGGGGGAGGGGGGGGGAAGAUGGAAAAAGGGGGGAAAGGCGGAGGAAGAAGCGCCCGGGGGGGGAUGACGGCUUUGGGGUUGAAAACCGGUGUUAGGGGGGAAGAAGGGCUGGGGGUGGAAGGGACCGGAAGAAAAAGGGCGGGGGAACGAAG
RNAcentral lists this ribosomal RNA (470 nucleotides) under uncultured bacterium. RNAcentral's name for it is "partial 16S ribosomal RNA". The stretch from base 20 to 332 matches the Rfam family "Bacterial small subunit ribosomal RNA", at positions 47 to 358 of the family's 1533-position model. The record is from RNAcentral.